This 382-nucleotide ribosomal RNA is filed under the name uncultured eukaryote. Its description in RNAcentral is "partial 18S ribosomal RNA". It matches the Rfam family "Eukaryotic small subunit ribosomal RNA", at positions 592 to 976 of the family's 1831-position model. The record is from RNAcentral.
CAAUAGCGUAUAUUAAAGUUGUUGCAGUUAAAAAGCUCGUAGUUGGAUUUCUGGUGAGAUGGAUUAUGUCUAGGUCGAAAGAUCUUGUUCAUGGUUCGUUUUGCCCUUCUUGUCAGGAACCCGCUGAGAUUCGCGUCUUGUCGGUGGAAUGGCAUCGUUUACUGUGAAAAAAUUAGAGUGUUCAAAGCAGGCAUCGCCGUUGAAUACAUUAGCAUGGAAUAAUAAGAUAAGACUUUGGUGGUCUAUUUUGUUGGUUUGCACGCCAAAGUAAUGAUUAAUAGGGAUAGUUGGGGGUGUUCGUAUUCUAUUGCUAGAGGUGAAAUUCUUAAAUUUACGGAAGACGAACUACUGCGAAAGCAUUUACCAAGGAUGUUUUCAUUAA